This 91-nucleotide small RNA is filed under the name Otolemur garnettii (small-eared galago). RNAcentral describes it as "Y RNA (ENSOGAG00000023104.1)". The record is from RNAcentral. Lineage: Eukaryota; Metazoa; Chordata; Mammalia; Primates; Galagidae.
GGCUGGCUUAAUAGUAGUGGGCUAUCAAAACUUAUUAACAUUACUGGCACUGAAGUUGGUAUACAACCCUCACUGUUAAAUUUGGCUUUAA